Molecule: ribosomal RNA, 733 nt
Filed under: Pseudomonas luteola
Lineage: Bacteria; Pseudomonadati; Pseudomonadota; Gammaproteobacteria; Pseudomonadales; Pseudomonadaceae
Description: bacterial SSU rRNA
Rfam family: Bacterial small subunit ribosomal RNA
Source: RNAcentral
GCUCUUCGAUUCAGCGGCGGACGGGUGAGUAAUACCUAGGAAUCUGCCUGGUAGUGGGGGACAACGUUUCGAAAGGAACGCUAAUACCGCAUACGUCCUACGGGAGAAAGCAGGGGACCUUCGGGCCUUGCGCUAUCAGAUGAGCCUAGGUCGGAUUAGCUAGUUGGUGAGGUAAUGGCUCACCAAGGCUACGAUCCGUAACUGGUCUGAGAGGAUGAUCAGUCACACUGGAACUGAGACACGGUCCAGACUCCUACGGGAGGCAGCAGUGGGGAAUAUUGGACAAUGGGCGAAAGCCUGAUCCAGCCAUGCCGCGUGUGUGAAGAAGGUCUUCGGAUUGUAAAGCACUUUAAGUUGGGAGGAAGGGCAGUAAGCGAAUACCUUGCUGUUUUGACGUUACCGACAGAAUAAGCACCGGCUAACUCUGUGCCAGCAGCCGCGGUAAUACAGAGGGUGCAAGCGUUAAUCGGAAUUACUGGGCGUAAAGCGCGCGUAGGUGGUUCGUUAAGUUGGAUGUGAAAUCCCCGGGCUCAACCUGGGAACUGCAUCCAAAACUGGCGAGCUAGAGUAGGGCAGAGGGUGGUGGAAAUUUCCUGUGUAGCGGUGAAAUGCGUAGAUAUAGGAAGGAACACCAGUGGCGAAAGGCGACCACCUGGGCUCAUACUGACACUGAGUGCGAAAGCGUGGGGAGCAAACAGGAUUAGAUACCCUGGUAGUCCACGCCGUAAACGAU